UCGCCAAUCGACCCUGCCUGUGGGGAAGAGCGGCGAGCAUCGCAACACAGGCUCGCAGCAAAGUCCGCCCCGGAUGGCGCUGUUAAAACUCUUAGGGGCCCGGCUUUCACGUCCUGCCAGUUGGGUUGUGAAGGCUUAAAUCAAUAAACUUGGCUAAGCAUGUAGAUCUGCAGAUGGAUUGCUGACGGACGCGGGUUCGAUUCCCGCCGGCUCCACCA
This 218-nucleotide transfer-messenger RNA is filed under the name Alcanivorax sp. RNAcentral describes it as "partial transfer-messenger RNA". It matches the Rfam family "transfer-messenger RNA", at positions 141 to 374 of the family's 374-position model. Rfam says of the family: Bacterial tmRNA, also known as 10Sa RNA or SsrA, is named for its dual tRNA and mRNA-like properties. Its role is to liberate the mRNA from a stalled ribosome. Lineage: Bacteria; Pseudomonadati; Pseudomonadota; Gammaproteobacteria; Oceanospirillales; Alcanivoracaceae. The record is from RNAcentral.